RNAcentral lists this ribosomal RNA (811 nucleotides) under uncultured bacterium. RNAcentral describes it as "bacterial SSU rRNA". It matches the Rfam family "Bacterial small subunit ribosomal RNA", at positions 8 to 796 of the family's 1533-position model. The record is from RNAcentral.
AGAGUUUGAUCAUGGCUCAGAGCGAACGCUGGCGGCGUACUUAACACAUGCAAGUCGAACGAGGAUCAUCGGUGUAGCAAUACAUUGGUGGUCCUAGUGGCGCACGGGUGAGUAACACGUGGGUGACCUGCCCUAGAGCUCGGGAUACCCCCUCGAAAGGGGGGCUAAUACCGGAUACGUUCCUCGGUCGAAAGAUCGGGGAGGAAAGGUGGCGCAAGCUGCCGCUCUUGGAGGGGCUCGCGGCCUAUCAGCUAGUUGGCGGGGUAACGGCCCACCAAGGCUAUGACGGGUAGCUGGUCUGAGAGGACGACCAGCCACACGGGGACUGAGACACGGCCCCGACUCCUACGGGAGGCAGCAGUGGGGAAUUUUCCGCAAUGGGCGAAAGCCUGACGGAGUGACGCCGCGUGUGGGACGAAGGCCUUCGGGUCGUAAACCACUGUCAGUGGGAAAGAUGGGUGUCGGGGCUAAUACCUCCGGCAUCUGACGGUACCUGCAGAGGAAGCCCCGGCCAACUCUGUGCCAGCAGCCGCGGUAAGACAGAGGGGGCAAGCGUUGCUCGGAAUUACUGGGCGUAAAGGGCGCGUAGGCGGGAUGGCAAGUCGGUCGUGAAAUCCCUCGGCUCAACCGAGGAACGUCGAUCGAUACUGCUGUUCUUGAGGAUUGCAGAGGAGACUGGAAUUCCCGGUGUAGCGGUGAAAUGUGUAGAGAUCGGGAGGAACACCGGUGGCGAAGGCGGGUCUCUGGGCAAUUCCUGACGCUGAGGCGCGAAAGCGUGGGGAGCAAACGGGAUUAGAUACCCUAGUAGUCC